Non-coding RNA from Pelobates cultripes (western spadefoot toad), 324 nucleotides. NCBI's taxonomy places the organism in Eukaryota, Metazoa, Chordata, Amphibia, Anura, Pelobatidae. The record is from the annotation of a GenBank genome assembly.
GUUAUAUUUGAUGCUAUUAUUAUAUAUGGAUUGUUUUGGUACUCACACUCUUCUAUUUCUAACUUGGAUAUUUCACCAUGUGGAACGUUUGUUUCAGGGGACCGGGAGUCAAUGCCCUGCCUAAUGUGAGUCAGAUUAGGAAGAUUUACAGUUUCUACCCAGACAGUACAUUUCUGUAGAAAUAAAUUGUCUUUCAGACUCUAAAGGGAAAACUCAAAGAUCUAUCAGAUGCAUCUAGACUUCCAAUAGCCUAUGGCAAUGUUGGGGGAGGGGGGGAACCCUGCAUGGGACAGUUGUCUUAUACAUUACUUAAGGCAUCUAUUU